UACGAAGGGGGCUAGCGUUGUUCGGAAUCACUGGGCGUAAAGGGCGCGUAGGCGGCCGAUCAAGUCGGGGGUGAAAGCCUGUGGCUCAACCACAGAAUUGCCUUCGAUACUGUUUGGCUUGAGACUGGAAGAGGUUAGUGGAACUGCGAGUGUAGAGGUGAAAUUCGUAGAUAUUCGCAAGAACACCAGUGGCGAAGGCGGCUGACUGGUCCGGUUCUGACGCUGAGGCGCGAAAGCGUGGGGAGCAAACAGG
This 253-nucleotide ribosomal RNA is filed under the name uncultured bacterium. RNAcentral's name for it is "partial 16S ribosomal RNA". It matches the Rfam family "Bacterial small subunit ribosomal RNA", at positions 524 to 776 of the family's 1533-position model. The record is from RNAcentral.